UCUCUGGUGGCUCAGAUGGUAAAGAAUCUGCCUUCAAUGCAGGAGACCCAGGUUCAAUCCCUAGAUAGGGAA
RNAcentral lists this transfer RNA (72 nucleotides) under Ovis aries (sheep). It matches the Rfam family "tRNA". From Rfam's summary of the family: Transfer RNA (tRNA) molecules are approximately 80 nucleotides in length. Their secondary structure includes four short double-helical elements and three loops (D, anti-codon, and T loops). The record is from Rfam by way of RNAcentral. Lineage: Eukaryota; Metazoa; Chordata; Mammalia; Artiodactyla; Bovidae.